This 428-nucleotide ribosomal RNA is filed under the name uncultured archaeon. RNAcentral's name for it is "bacterial SSU rRNA". It matches the Rfam family "Archaeal small subunit ribosomal RNA", at positions 474 to 903 of the family's 1478-position model. The record is from RNAcentral.
UACCAGCUCUCCGAGUGGUAGGGAUGAUUAUUGGGCUUAAAGCGUCCGUAGCCGGCUUAGCAAGUCUCCUAUUAAAUUCAGCGACCUAAUCGUUGAGCCGCGGGAGACACUACUAGGCUAGGAGGCGGGAGAGGCCGACGGUAUUCUCGGGGUAGGGGUGAAAUCCUAUAAUCCCGGGAGGACCACCAGUGGCGAAGGCUGUCGGCUAGAACGCGCUCGACGGUGAGGGACGAAAGCUGGGGGAGCGAACCGGAUUAGAUACCCGGGUAGUCCCAGCUGUAAACGGUGCGGGCUAGGUGUUGGGGUGGCUACGAGCCACUUCAGUGCCGCAGGGAAGCCAUUAAGCCCGCCGCCUGGGGAGUACGGCCGCAAGGCUGAAACUUAAAGGAAUUGGCGGGGAGCACCACAAGGCGUGAAGCUUGCGGUUC